Molecule: long non-coding RNA, 393 nt
Filed under: Jatropha curcas
Lineage: Eukaryota; Viridiplantae; Streptophyta; Magnoliopsida; Malpighiales; Euphorbiaceae
Description: long non-coding RNA (JCUR_LNC002910)
Source: RNAcentral
UAAUAAUAAUAAUAAUAAUAAUAAUAAUAAUAAUAAACAAUGAUAAUCAAAAUGAAUAAAUAAUUGAAUAAUUAAAUAAAUAAUAAUGAUAAUGAUAAAAUAAUUAGAGCACUAUAUUUAUUAUGUACUAAGUUAUAGAAUUAAUCUAAAUAAAUUUAUUAAUUAUGUUAUUACUUAAAAUUAGUCUAAUUCUUAUUGAAAUUUCGGCAGCACCUCCCCGAAAAAUUGGACUAUCCACCUGUUUAGAUAACACAGUAUUAUUAUAUAUUUAUCAAUCAAUGCACACAGCCCAUCCGUCGGGCAAUCAAUCAACUUAAUUCCCAUCCUCCUUCAAUAGCAACGUCAUAGCUAACAAACCAUUUAAAUCGUCUAUCCAUUAUACAUUACUUNNNN